This is a long non-coding RNA of Malaclemys terrapin pileata, 9378 nucleotides long. RefSeq lists it as uncharacterized. The record is from RefSeq and is a predicted model, not a curated record. NCBI's taxonomy places the organism in Eukaryota, Metazoa, Chordata, Testudines, Emydidae. The transcript has 7 exons.
AGCUGUGGAGACGCCACUGUCAGUGAGAUAAGUGUCUGGUUUGGUGAGGGCUCUGCUCACGCCCAACCUGAGUCCAGGUUGGGAAGCCCACUAAGUUGGGGCUGGGUUUGUAUGAAAAGGUUCCUGACUAACUGUGGUUACGAGGGGGAAAAGGUCCCUAUUUUCAGAGGUUGUUCAUUUCUCUGGUCAGGAAUGGUGUCUCCUCUGCAGCGGAAGGUUGGAUUCAGAAGGAUGACUCCAGGUGGUCAGUUGCUUGCUUUCCUCCCAUGUUUUUCUUUCUCUCUCUCUCUUGUCUAGUAUGUUGGCCAACACACACCCUCUAGCUCUCGCUGUCUGUCCUUGCCUUUCCUCGUGUUGUCUCCCUUCGUAAGACACGGGCAGCCGUGUAACUUGUGUAUCCCCACAGGCUAUGUCUCGGGAGCCACGGAGAAGUAGGAGGGGACGAAAACCAUGCAGGGCUGUAACUGUCGGUGUUAACUUGGUCUCUGUUCAUCGAGUGGGGCUGAUGUAGAUGGGAUUGGAGAGGGAGGCCAGGAUGAGGGCAAGAUUUGAAGCAACAAAUAGAGCUUUAAGUAGUGAUGGCUCAUGCUUGGCUUUUGCAGCUGCGCUUCCAGAGGAAUUUUCCAAGAGCCCUAUCCUGAGGAGAAAGUGGCAGAAGUGGACCUGAGCAGACUGGACAUCCCUGUAAGCAGACAUGAACAUCCUUGUCAGCAGACAUGAACAGUCCUCAACUUUCUGGCUCCCGCAUAACUGGCUUACCGAGGGAAAAGAAAUCAAACGUCAGCGUUUCCUCCCCUUCUCGGAUGGAAAGCGAGCAAGAGCAGUGAGCCUGCGAACAUUGUGGAUGCAAGUCAGGAGCCGUCCAGUUAGCAGUGGAGCAGUCGCUACCGUCAGUGAGAUAAGUGUGUGGUUUGGUGAGGGUUCUGCGUAGGGCCCCAAUGGCUCCAGGUAGGGACGCCCCGUUAGCUGGGGCUGGGUUUGUAAGAAAUGGUUCCUAAGCAGCUGUGGUUACGAGAGAGACAAGGUCCCCAUUUUCAGGGACUGCUCAUUUCUCUGCCCAGAUGCGGUGUGUCCUCGGAAGCAGAAGGUUGCAUCCAGGAGGAUGACUCCAGGUGGUGAGUUGCUUGCCUUCCUCCCAUUUUUUUCUCUCUGUCUCUUUCUCUCUCUCCUCUAGUGUGUUGGCCAACUUUCUCACUCUCUUUCCUCUCCUCUCCUCGUGCCGUCUCCCUUCGUAGGACCACGGGCAUCCGUGCUAGGUGUGCAUCCUAGCCAGGUCUCGGGAGCCAUGGAGAAGUAGGAGCGGGGCAGUGGGCACAAAAGUGGAGCUGUGACUGUCUGUGUUUACUUAGUUUCUGUUCAUCGAGUGGGGCUGAUGUAGAUGGGACUGGAGAGGGAGGCAGGGAUGAGGGCAAGACUCGACGCCCCAAUAGAGCUCUGUGUAGUGAUAGUUCUUGCUUGGCUUUAUUAGUUUGCGGAGGAAUCGUCCAGGAGCCCUAGCCGGACAAGAAUAUGGCAGAAGUGGACCUGAGCAGCCUGGACAUCCUUCUAAGGAGAUAUGAAUAGUCCUCAUGUUUCUGCCUUCUGCAUCGCUGGCUGUGAGUAAGAGGUUUAGAGCCAAGGAAAACGAAGUCACGCGUCGGAGUCUACUGCCCUCAUGCGAUGGAAAGCGAGCGAGAGCGUUGAGACUCUGAGCAUUGUUGAUGCCACUCAAAAGCCGUCCAUCUGGGAGCUGUGGAGACGCCGCUGUCAGUGAGAUAAGUGUCUGGUUUGGUGAGGGCUCUGCUCACGCCCAACCUGAGUCCAGGUUGGGAAGCCCACUAAGUUGGGGCUGGGUUUGUAUGAAAAGGUUCCUGACUAGUUGUGGUUACGAGGUGGAAAAGGUCCCUAUUUUCAGAGGUUGCUCAUUUCUCUGGUCUCCUCUGCAGCAGAAGGUUGGAUUCAGGAGGAUGACUCCAGGUGGUGAGUUGCUUGCUUUCCUCCCAUUUUUUCUCUCUCUCUCUCUCUCUCUCUCUCUCUCUCUCUCUCUCUCUCCUCUUGUGUGUUGGCCAACUUUCUGACUCUUUCCUCUCCUGUCCUCGUGCCGUCUCCCUUCAUAGGACACGGGCAUGCGUGCUAGGUGUGCAUCCCCACAGGCCAGGUCUUGGGAGCCAUGGAGAAGUAGGAGGGGACGAAAACCAUGCAGGGCUGUAACUGUCGGUGUUAACUCGGUCUCUGUUCAUCGAGUGGGGCUGAUGUCGAUGGGAUUGGAGAGAGAGGCCAGGAUGAGGGCAAGAUUUGAAGCAACAAAUAGAGCUUUAAGUAGUGAUGGCUCAUGGUUGGCUUUUGCAGCUGGGCUUCCAGAGGAAUUUUGCAGGAACCCUAUGCUGAGGAGAAACUAGCAGAAAUGGACAUGAGCAGACUGGACAUCCUUGUAAGCAAACAUGAACAGUCCUCCGCUUUCUGACUCCCGCAUAAUUGGCUGUGAGUAAGCAGUCAGUGCUUUAAAUUACCAAUCUGAGCUCGCUGUUGUAGUCUUUGCAGGCCGUAUGCUUUCUCGUUCGGUACGGGGCUCUGCGUUUACAGCUGAGGAGGGGCCAGAGUCUGCUUUGCAGAGUGAUUAUUUCGGAUGCCGUUGCAAGGGGUGCUUUUCAGUUCUAGUGCUAAGGGCAUUAUGCGGCGAGGGUUCGGUGCAGAGCGCUUAAGUGCGGGAGAGGCGAAAACAAUAGCCUCCGCGACGUUGCCCACUGAGAUGGUAUCUCACUUGUUUUUCCUCCUUGUGCCGGGUUUAGUACUGAGGGAAAAGAAAUGAAACGUCAGAGUUUACGCCCCUUAUCGGAUGGAAAGCGAUCGAGAGCAGUGAGCCCGCGAGCAUUAUCGAUGCAAGUCAGGAGCCGACCAGUUGGCAGUGGAGCAGUCGCUUCAGUCAGUGAGAUAAGUGUCUGAUUUGGUGAGUGCUCUGCUCACGCUCCACCUGAGUCCAGGUAGGGAAGCCCAGUAAGUUAGGGCUGUGUCUUGUAUGAAAAGGUUCCUGACUAGCUGUGGUCACGAGGGAGAAAAGGUCCCUAUUUUCAGAGGUUGCUCAUUUCUCUGGUCAGGAAUGGUGUCUCCUCCGCAGAGUAAGGUUGGAAUCAGGAAGAUGACUCCAGGUGUGGUCAGUUGCUUGCUUUCCUUUCAUUUUUUUUCUCGCUCUUCUCUCUCUUAUCUAGUGUGUUGGCCAACUUUCUCACUCUCUUUCCUCUCCAGUCCUCGUGCCGUCUCCCUUCGUAGGAGACGGGCAGGGUUGCUCGGUGUGCAUCCCCACAGGCCAGGUCUCGGGAGCCAUGGAAAAGUAGGAGGGGACGAAAACCAUGCAGGGCUGUAACUGUUGGUGUUAACUCGGUCUCUGUUCAUCGAGUGGGGCUGAUGUAGAUGGGAUUGGAGAGGGGAGGCCAGGAUGAGGGCAAGAUUUGAAGCGACAAAUAGAGCUUUAAGUAGUGAUGCCUCAUGCUUGGCUUUUGCAGCUGCACUUCCAGAGGAAUUUUCCAAGAGCCCUAGCCCGAGGAGUAAGUGGCAGAAGUGGACAUGAGCAGACUGGUGGACAUCCUUGUAAGCAGACAUGAACAGUCCUCAGCUUUCUGACUCCCGCAUAACUGGCUGGGUUUGUAAGAAAUGGUUCCUACCCAGCUGUGCUUAGGAGAGAGACAAGGUCCCCUUUUUCAGGGGCUGCUCAUUUCUCUGGCCAGGAGCGGUGUCUCUUCCGCAGCAGAAGGUUGCAUCCAGGAGGAUGACUCCAGGUGUUUCCGGAGGAAUCGUCCAGGAGCCCUAGCCGGACAAGAAUAUUGCAGAAGUGGACCUGAGUAGUCUGGACAUCCUUCUAAGGAGACAUGAAUAGUCCUCAUGUUUCUGCCUUCUGCAUCGCUGGCUGUGAGUAAGAGGUUUAGUAUCAAGGAAAAAAAAGUCACGCAUCAGAGUCUACUGCCCUCAUGCGAUGGAAAGCUACCGGGAGCGUCGAAACUCUGAGCAUUGUCGAUGCCACCCAAAAGCCGUCCAUCUGGGAGCCGAGGAGACGCUGCUGUCAGUGAGAUAAGUGUCUGGUUUGGUGAGGGCUCUGCUCACGCGCAACCUGAGUCCAGGUAGGGAAGCCCAGUAUGGUAGGGCUGGGUUUGUAUGAAAAGGUUCCUGACUAGCUGUGGUCACGAGGGAGAAAAGGUCCCUACUUUGAGAGGUUGCUCAUUUCUCUGGUCAGGAAUGGUGUCUCCUCCGCAUCAGAAGGUUGCAUCCAGGAGGGUGACUCCAGGUGGUAAGUUGCUUGCUUUCCUCCCAUGUUUUUAUUUCUCUCUUUGUCUGUCUGUCUGUCUCUUUCUCUCUCUCUCUCGUACGCUGGCCAACACACAGCCUCUAUCUCUCCCUCUCUGUCUGUCCUUGCCUUUCCCUGUACUGUCUCCCUUUGUAGGACACAGGCAGGCGUGCUAGGUGUGCAUCCCCACAGGCCAGUUCUUGGGAGCCAUGGAGAAGUAGGAGGGGAGGAAAAUCAUGCAGGGCUGUGACUGUCGGUGUUAUCUCGGUCUCUGUUCGUCGAGUGGGGCCGAGGUAGAUGGGAUUGGAGAGGGAGGCCAGGAGGAGGGCAAGAUUUGAAACACCAAUAGAGGUUUGUGUAGUGAUGGCUCAUGCUUGGCUUUUAGCUGCGCUUCCAAAGGAAUUUUCCAGGAGCCCUAGCCCGAGGAGAAAGUGGCAGAACUGGACAUGAGCAGACUGGACACCCUUAUCAGCAGACAUGAACAGACCUCGGCUUUCUGACUCCCGCAAAACUGGCUGUGAGUAAGCGGUCAGUGCUUUGAAUUCCUCAUCUGUGCUCGCUGUAGUAUUCUUCACAAGUCGUGUGCUUCCUCGUUGGGUACGGGGCUCUGUGAGAUUACAGCUGGGGAGGGGCCAGAGUCUGCUGUGCAGAGUGAUUAUUUCGGGUGCCGUUGCAAGGGGUGCGUUUUAGUUGUGCUAAAGGCGUAAUGGACAGGGUUUGGGGCGGAGCGCCGCCGUGUGGGAGAGGCGAAAAGAAUAGCCUACGCGACGCUGCCCACUGAGAUAGUAACUUCAUUGUUUUUCCUCCUUGUGCUGGGUUUAGUAUCAGGAAAAGAAAUCAAACGUCAGAGUUUACUCCCCUCGUCGGAUGGAAAGCGAGUGAGAACAGUGAGCCUGUGAGCAUUGUUGAUGCAAGUCAGGAGCCAUCCAGUUGGCAGUGGAGCAGUCGCUAUUGUCAGUGAGAUAAGUGUCUGGUUUGGUGAGGGUUCUGCGUAGGGCCCCCCUGGUCCAGGUAGGGACACCCCGUUAGUUGGGGCUGGGUUUGUAAGAAAUGGUUCCUGACCAGCUGUGGUUAUGAGAGAGACAAGGUCCCCAUUUUCAGGGACUGCUCAUUUCUCUGCCCAGAUGCGGUGUGUCCUCGGAAGCAGAAGGUUGCAUCCAGGAGGAUGACUCCAGGUGGUGAGUUGCUUGCCUUGCUCCCAUGUCUUUCUAUCUGUCUCUCUCUCUUCACUAGUACGUUGGCCAACACACAGCCUCUAUCUCUCCCUCUCUGUCUGUCCUUGCCUUUCCUUGUUCUGCCUCCCUUCGUAGGACACAGGCAGGUGUGCUAGGUGUGCAUCCCCAGAGGCCAGGUCUCGGGAGCCAUGGAGAAGUUGGAGUGGACGAAAAGCAUGCGGGGCAGUGGGCACUAAAGUGGAGCUGUGACUAUCUGUUUACUCGGUCUCUGUUCAUCCAGUGGGGCUGAUGUAGAUGGGACUGGAGAGGGAGGCAGGGAUGAGGGCACGAUUCAACGCACCAGUAGAGCUCUGUGUAGUUCUUGCUUGGCUUUAUUAGUUUGCGGAGGAAUCAUCCAGGAGCCCUAGCCGGACAAGAAUAUGGCAGAAGUGGACCUGAGCAGUCUGGACAUCCUUCUAAGGAGACAUGAAUAGUCCUCAUGUUUCUGCCUUCUGCAUCGCUGGCUGUGAGUAAGAGUACCAAGGAAAACGAAGUCACGCGUCAGUCUACUGUCCUCAUGUGAUGGAAAGCGAGCCAGAGCGUCGAGACUCUGAGCAUUGUUGAUGCCACGCAAAAGCCGUCCAUCUGGGAGCCUAGCAGACGCUGCUGAUAGUGAGAAGUGUCUGGUUUGGUGAGGGCUCUGCUCAGACUCCUCCUGAGUCUAUGUUGGGAAGCCUAGUACAGUAGGGCGGGGUUUGUAUGAAUGGUUCCUGACUAACUGUGGUUACGAGGGAGAAAAGGUCCCUAUUUUCAGAGGUUGCUCAUUUCUCUGGUCAGGAACUGUCUCUCCUCUGCAGCAGAAGGUUACCUCCAGGAGAAUAACUCCAGGUGCUUCCUUUCCUCCCAUGUUUUUCUCUCUCUCUCUCUCUCUCUCUCUUCUCUAGUAUGUUGGCCAACACACGCUCUCUCCUCUCCUCUCCUCUCCUCUCCUCUCCUCUCCUCUCCUCAUGCCCGUUUGUAGAACACUGGUUGGUGUGCAUCCCCACAGGCCAGGUCUCGGGAUCCAUGGAGAAGUAGGAGCGGAAGAAAAUCAUGCAGGGCAAUGGGCGCUAAAGUCGAGGACUGCCCUGUCACCAUUUGCUAUACCCACAAUUUCCCAUUCCUGGGUCUAUGGGAAAGGGAGUUGUGAGAAAUGGGUUGGAUUUUGUCAGAGUUUCAACCAGUGUUCCCUUCAAUUUUUCCCACUCAUGUGUGGAAGGAAUUUUGUUAUGUGCACCAAUAUGGAGGUGAUGUGUCACACAUUACCUUCACAUUGGUGCACGUAACAAAAUUCAUGUGGCGGGUGUGGGGCCGAGGCGUUCGGAGUAUGGGACAGGGCUCAGGGCUGGGGCAGAGCGUUGAGGUGCGGGGGGGGUGAGGGCUCCAUCUGGGGGUGUGGUCUCAGGGCUGGGGAUGAGGAGUUUGGGGUCCAGACUGCCUUGGAACUACAGGAAGUGGGGGGAGAAGACUCCCCGCAGCUCUCUCUCCCCGCAGCAGCACCUGGGCUGGGGGGAGAGCACCUCUCCCUAAUGCGGCAGUUCCAGGGCUGGGGCCACAGAAUCGGUGCUUCUUCCCCGGCCGCAGCAGGUCCGGGGCUGGGGGAGAGGCAUGUCUCCACGCCACAGCUCUGAGUUCCUGCACAGUGCUUAAUAUGCUGCUGCGCAGCUUAGAGGUAACUUAGGUUUCAACUUGUGUGAAAUCACUAUUUUAAUACCUUUUUUUCUAAAUUAGCAAAAUCUUGUUUUACUUGUGUGUAAAUUUUAAAAAGAGGUUUCACAGGAGCAACGGGUGUCCACCUCUCCCUUGGUCUAGAGGUAGCCAUUCCGGCCAACCAGCAAUUCAAGAACCAGUGAAGUCAUGUGAUCAUAAAAAUAGACUUGAUUAUGUUUUGUUUUUUAAUAAUGUAUUAAAUAUGGUAAAUGAGAGUCACUAUAAAACCCUAGGAAGUGUUAGAAGAAGAUAUGAAGGUUUCUUGAAAAGUAAAGAAUUAAAAUGUAUGAAACUCCAUUUCCUGGAGGUAAUGGGAAAGGGUGGCCAGUUCAGGGAAUCGGAACAGCUGAGCAGACCAAUUUGUGAACCUCUCUGUGCAGAUGUCACUUGUAUGUAAACACCUGAAUGAAGACUGUGAGUAUUUAAAGAGCAGGGUGUAUGGGGGGGAGAGGGAAGGUGUCAGAAACUCACUACAUCAUUUCAGAGAGGGAAGAGCAGCCUUGUCUAGACCUUCCCCGCUCCCCCCGCCCCCACCUUCCUUUUGCCCCUGUUACUGUACAUGAUCAGCUUGCUCCAGCAUCCUCAACAGCAAAGUAACCGAUUCUGCUGGGGAGUGUUUUAUAACACUACAACAGCUAGGGGGGCUCUUGCUUUGGCCCAGGUAUGAUGUUCCAGGCUGUAAUCCUGACCAGUGUGGGGCUAUGUCACCUGACCUGCAACAGGGGGGUGCCUCACCGUGCUUCUCUGUUAUAGCUCUGACUUGGGUAGCUCACAAACAGCCUGUCAGCGUGAUGCUCCACUCCCACCCCCAAGUGUCUGUGUGUGGCUAUGACUCUGAUCCCAGAGCUUGUCAGCACUCACCAGUCACACUUUGGCUUCCAUCAGACCUGGGCUACCACAUGCAGGGUGACCCCAACACACUCCCUGUCCUGAAUUUUACCCCAAAAACAUGUUGUGCACUGUCCAGCCCUCUCCUGGACAGGCCAGAUAGAUUAGGUCUGUUGUACCUCUAGGAGGUCAAUAUACAAAAAUCUGCCACCUUGUGGAUAAUUCCAUUUACAGUUCACAACACUGGAUUAGUUUUGGUUCAAGAAUAAAACAAGUUUAUUUAACUACAUAGAGAGGUUUUACGUGAACAAAAGUAAUAAGGCAUUAAAGAAGAAAUGGUUACAAGAAAAAAAUAAAGAUAAAAUGCUUUCUAAACUUAACAAACUAGGCUUGUGAAGUCCCUUCCCACAGGUUCCAGUAAUAUUGCUGCCCAAACCCUCAGGCCAGUAUCUGCUUCCAGGGUCCAGCAGCUGUUUCUCUGAUCAUCUUAGGUGAAAGGGAGAUUAGGAGGGAGAGAGAACUUGGGUGUUUUUGCCCUUCCCUUUUAUAGCUCGGUCACCAUUUGAAAAACAUUUUCCUGAGUGUUCACCUUAGGUUAAGUGUUUUCUUGCUGAGAGCAUGGAGUUUGGUGGAAGAAGGAGGCUUUGUGCUGUUUCUGUUCAUCCGUGUAUACUGCUUCUUUCUUCCCUCUCUUAUCCUCUGUGGAAUCUGUUUACAGCUGAAAUGCAAAUUGAGGCAAACGCACAUCCCUUUCUUUAGGACAGGUGUGCUUGAUCACUUCCACCUAAUCAGGCUAUGUGAAUUGGAACUUGUGCUUUUAAUACCCUAUAGGUGGAAUUUCAUAACUUUACACAGACUGUUGCUACCGCCAUUUCACCAAAAUAGUAUUGAUCACUGAGUUUCAAAUGCUACCUCACAAGGCAUAUUUUGUCCAAAGAUUGUUACAAUAGUGUGUAGGGUGUGAAUACAGGGGUGCAUUUGGCCACUGUGGGUUGGGAAUUAUCCAUUUGUGAAGGGCUCGCUAACCUUACCCUUCCCUGGAAAUUGCCAGACAAUGAAGGGAAGUGGAGAAUUCUUGCUCCAAUCCUGAAUUGCUGGAAAUCCCAGGCUCGCUGGAGCUGGUUUGAUUUCCCAGUGGAGUCAGUUUUUCUCCCUGGUGGAUUAUGAUUUUCCCCAUUGUAGUUAGUUGCAAUUUGUCUACUUCCCCACAGAUCCUCACUAGCUUCUCUAGGCGUUAUCUCAUUGCUUCAAAUUAAAACUGCUGCCCUUUGGGUCUGUAUGUUCUGGGGUAUUUGCUGUCAUGAGUGACUGUGCUGGCUUGGGCAGGUGCUGGGCAAGGUGGGGGUUGUAAGUUUCUGAUGAAGAAUGUAAAUAAAAUUACCCUGUGACAAA